GAAAGGUCGUGCUAUCUAACGGCUGGUUCUGACUGGUUCAGGGCCCAAUUUGA
This 53-nucleotide non-coding RNA is filed under the name unclassified sequences. The record is from RNAcentral.